Molecule: long non-coding RNA, 994 nt
Filed under: Salvia miltiorrhiza (redroot sage)
Lineage: Eukaryota; Viridiplantae; Streptophyta; Magnoliopsida; Lamiales; Lamiaceae
Description: long non-coding RNA (SMIL_LNC012156)
Source: RNAcentral
CGGAAAUCACUCCCCCAUUUUAUGCGGCCUCUCCUCUACAAACCUCUCUAUCUCUCUCUCUUUCUCUCUCAUUUACAGAUUUUGAAGCAUCAAACCUCCCUCUACCUCCGCCGAUACAGCCGCCGCCACCGCACCUCCUUUCUUCCUCCUCCCUAAACCGUCGGAGGCCCAGCAAGAUCGUCGGGCCGUCACGAUUUUCACCAUCAAAAACCUCAUCUCCCUCUCUAUUUCAACGGCGAGCGGCGAGAAUCCACGCCGCCCCCUUCUCCAUCAAAAACCUCAUCUCCCUUCUCUAUGUUUAAGCGUUUCCAAUUGGGGUUAUCUGGAGAGAUUGGAGUUAGUUUUGUUAACUGAGGAAUGUGUGUAAUUUUGUGUUUGGGAUCUUGUUGCUUGGAUAUUCUUGAUUGUUGUGGCUGCUGGGUUUUGCUUGAUUAAAAAGAAAAAUGUAAUCUUGGAUGAAAUGGCAUGUGAAUUUUGUUUCUUUUAGUUUGCUUAAUUAUUGGAUUUUUUUCUUUCUCGCUGUGGGUAAUAUUGCAGGGGAAUUUCAAGCAAAAUCAGUACCUGAUAACCCCUUUUAAUUGUUUGUGUAGUUUAUAUUAGAUUCUUGUUUUUGUUCUUUUUGUCACUUGGGGCUUCUUUCGCCAAUGGAUUUGAUUUUUGGGUGUUUUGCAACUAAGUAGUUCAUUCUGCUUGCAGGGGGGAUUAUUUAUGUUCGAUCUUUAGCUUCCAUACUGGUUUUGUGACUCGACGCAAGAACUCAUUGGAGGCCAGCGCAACCGUGGAGAUCCGGCGUCUCAUCUCCAAAGAGAUCUCUCAUAGUCGGAUUCUUCAUCUGGGAAUUAAAUCUCUUUGCAGUCUCUGUCUAAUCUGCACUUUUAUUUUUCUUUUCGUCAAAAUAAAUGAUCAAUUUUGGAAUUUGGGGGAUAUUCACGUGUCCAUUAAAUAUGAAUAUAUCUGUUCAUUUAGAAAUUGUGUUCUGUUCAUUUAGAAAUUG